Molecule: ribosomal RNA, 466 nt
Filed under: uncultured bacterium
Lineage: Bacteria
Description: partial 16S ribosomal RNA
Rfam family: Bacterial small subunit ribosomal RNA
Source: RNAcentral
GACGAACGCUGGCGGCGUGCUUAACACAUGCAAGUCGAACGGAAAGGCCUCUUUCGGGGGGUACUCGAGUGGCGAACGGGUGAGUAACACGUGAGUAACCUGCCCUUGACUUUGGGAUAACUUCAGGAAACUGGGGCUAAUACCGGAUAGGAGCUCCUGCUGCAUGGUGGGGGUUGGAAAGUUUCGGCGGUUGGGGAUGGACUCGCGGCUUAUCAGCUUGUUGGUGGGGUAGUGGCUUACCAAGGCUUUGACGGGUAGCCGGCCUGAGAGGGUGACCGGCCACAUUGGGACUGAGAUACGGCCCAGACUCCUACGGGAGGCAGCAGUGGGGAAUAUUGCACAAUGGGUGGAAGCCUGAUGCAGCAACGCCGUGUGCGGGAUGACGGCCUUCGGGUUGUAAACCGCUUUCGCUCAUGACGAAGCUUUGUGUGACGGUAGUGGGUAAAGAAGCACCGGCGAGCUACGU